GAGUCGCCUCCUUCUCGCGCCUAACGUUUUGUUUUUCUGCAAGUCCGCGCACGCAGCUCAUGGGUGAAUGCACGGCUGCAUGGCAUCGCAUUAAGACCUGCGGCAUUUUCUCGUGUUCGCACAAUCGGUGGGAGACACGUCGCAUGUGAAAUGUUUGAUAGAAGUGCCUCACGUCCAAGUGAAGCGGCCGUACGGGUGCUAUGGCGGUGUGCCCCGUUCUCGGAAGCGUCGACCGAUUUCCGGCAUGCGGAUUUCAGAGUUUGGACUCGACUUUUGGUGAGCAUGUCGAUCGACCUUGGGCCUGGUGACAACACACCCGACAUGGCCAAAGUGCAGCCUAUCAGUUGAGUGCCCCCGAAUGGACCAUCAACAUCGGAAAAUGAAGCAGAGCCAGGAAGAAAACGUUCCGGUAACUCCAUGCAUUCAGUUUGGUGUCCCAGACGUGUAUUCAAGCAACCUCCUUCAUGUGAACCAAGAACUACUCUUCAGUGUCUCGCAGGCUUCCAUGCGAAGCCCUCAACAUUCUCGUCUCAGUGGAAUGGCUGCUCAUCUAUCAGCGUGUCCAUCACCAAGACUGCCAGUUGUAAAGCUUCUGACCCCUUUAAGAAAGCUUAGUGAUUUUUUUAUUUACUUUUCAGGGUUGGCCAUAGAAUCUGAAAAUUUUUUAUGUUUCAACAUAUUUACCUGGGACAAAGCGGUGCAAUAACUUUUAUACCAGUGUAAUGUAUUUAAGUGAUGCUCACUCUCAUGCCUAUCUGGUUUUGUUAGCGUUUAAGUAAUUUCAAUGUCUGAUGAGGUAACAGCAUUUGAAUUUGUCAUCGUGGCUCGUUUCAGUGAGCUGCUAGGAAAUAAGACGCAAAAGUUACCACACGCCAGUUGCAGCAUUUUUGUUUUCAUGACUACAGUAUACACGUUUCAAAAGAUUGAAAGUGGGGGAAAAAGCCUCAAGAACAUAAUCAUUCUAGGAUUGUCAUGUCCUUACAGCUCUGCAAUGACUAAUGCCUCAUAGAUCUUGGGAGCACAUUGGUCGCAAUGCCUACAGGUAUAUUUGAUAAGAGAAUAGCUCGCACCCAGAUUUGCCACACAGUUGAUGGCUGAUGGCUUUUUUUUUUGUCGUCUUCAUGUUACUACUAUGUAUUCAAUAUUCGUUUAGAUGUAAACGACACUACAGGCACCGAAAUACCAAAUGGCACUUGCAUUUCAGGAGACAAAGUGUCCAGCAUGCCUGUCACAAAACGUGUUCUAGGGGCUACCUUCCCUGUAUAGGUAAAUGGACACCAGAUGUUUUUUGUACAAUGUAAUUGGUGUUCUUGUCUGGAGUGCCUGAACGAUGUGCUAAGGGGAGUGUACUGGCACUGUCUGAAGAUAAUGAAUGAUCCUAGAAAGCCUGCAGCUGAGCAUCUGCCACCGUACUGAAGGAACUGUCCUAAUUUAUUUUAUUGAUGUGGUUGAAAUUUGGCGGUCUGCCGGAAGAUUAUUUAAAGUUGUGGCUGUGGCAGUGCUGUCGAACUAAAGCACAUAUUACACACAUCGACUCACACGAUGCAGUCUGAAAGUUUUGCUACGUGGUAUCUGUGCUUGCUGCCUGACCUUAUGGCACCUUUACGAGCAGUCGCAGGUGAUCGCAGCUGCUGAGGCUUUAUCAACUGGCAAGGUGAAAAAAAAGAAUGCUGUGCCACCAGUGCGGCUGCACACUCCGAGAUGCAAGCUAUCUUGAACCAGGUGUUUGGUAGACCGUACCUGUGCAACCAAAACAUGGUUUUUCAGCCCUAUAGGCAACUGCGUUCACAACUGCACGCAAGUGUGCUGCCACAACAGAAAGUUAAGAACAUGCAGCAUUUUUACCAGUGUUUCUUCAAAACAUUAGUGCAAAUCAUUCUUUCACCAAGGCGGGUAAUCAUGCAUAGGUAAUGAGAACAGGGCAUUUGUGACGCACAAGGGGUCAUGUGUCUAAAGUUUAAUUAGAUCAGUAAUCUAUGAGAUGGAAUUAUAAAAAGUAUACAUUUUGUUCCUCAGUGGUCUCUUGGAGAGACAUGACCAUUUCCGGAAGUUUAGUUUUGACUUCUUAUGUCUAGAUUUGGUGUGCAUAUUGCAACUAUAACUAACAGCCAGAGCUCUGUCCUGUCCAGUUUUAUGCUCUCUGUGAUAUUUGCAAUAUUUUUCAGUUCAGCUGAGCGAAGUAUAUGUCUUUACUAUAACUAGUUUUCAUGUUCAACUUUUGUGCAGUGCUCACUAGUUAUUACUAGCCAUGUUUUGUUCACAUAGACACACUCAGACUUGUUCUUUCUUAUAUGGCCGGUUAUUUUCGUACUUUAUGGUAAGAUACAGUGCUUUUCGAAUGAAAACAUGUGAUAGUUCAUGGUGAGGUUAUUUAAAAAACUUUUCUGCUUAAAGUUUAAUUGAACAAGCCUGUGCCAUUAUUCGGUGCUUAUGUCUUUCUAUUGGUAUGGUUUUACUCAUCAUCUUCCUUUUUUACUUUUAAUAUGUGCAAACUUUAUUAUGUAACCAUUUCUCUUUAAUGACAUGAUAAAUGCUUUUCUUCUCACAUUUCUUCACAAAUUUUACAAUGAUUUUGUUCAAUUAGGUAACCUUAGACUAUCUUAUUGUUAUUCUGAUAGCUUAACUUAAAAUGCCUGUGGGAUAUUCUGUGCAAGCACAUGGUGAAAAAUAAACUAAAUUAUUGGGUAUAAGCAGGUCACUGACAGUAAAUGGAGCAUACAUAAAUUUCAGGAAAUAGUGCAUGUUUAUAUAUUCACAGCAUGCACAGCUACACGUGCAGUUUUGUUUGUAAAUGCUGAAACAUUAUUCUAAGCGGACGCGCUUUGUUACACUUUGUUCUUUCGCUUUCAGUGCUACCUUUAAAUCAUUAUAUAGGUGAAGGUACUAGUAGAAGCAUCCCGUGGAUAUAAAUGACAACUUUGAUGAAUAGAGUUAUAAAAUAUGUGCAUAAAACAGCAAAAACAGCUUGACAGGCAAACGUAUGCUUCUGUACUACUGCACUGGUUACCGUCGCCAAUCCAUGCAUUGCUUGUGCUCUAUUGCAUUCAAUAUGAGCUACAACAACGGGCUGUGGUGGCUUUCCCUCCUGGUCGAGCUGGUGUUGCUGCGAAAAUUUUUCGCCAAGAAAAGUGGAGUUUUUUAAUUAUUUCAGAAAUGCAUGUAACAUCAUGCCUUUGGUUGUGUGGUGUUUCCAUGGAAUGAUAAGUACU
This is a long non-coding RNA of Dermacentor albipictus, 3209 nucleotides long. RefSeq lists it as uncharacterized. The record is from RefSeq and is a predicted model, not a curated record. Lineage: Eukaryota; Metazoa; Arthropoda; Arachnida; Ixodida; Ixodidae.